UCAAACUUGGUCAUUUAGAGGAAGUAAAAGUCGUAACAAGGUUUCCGUAGGUGAACCUGCGGAAGGAUCAUUAUUGAAUAACUUGCCUUGAUGGGUUGUAGCUGGCCUCUUGAGGCAUGUGCACGCCUGUCUUGACUCUAUUCAUCCACCUGUGCACCUUUUGUAGUUCUUUACUCUGAUGUUCACAGCUUUCAUUCAGUUGAGACACACUGGAUUUGAGGAUUGCCUGUCAUAAGGCUCUACUCUUCUCGGCCGAACUCAGAUGAGGAACUAUGUACUUUAUCACAAACCAUGUAGUAUGUUGUCAGAAUGUAUUCAAUGGGCCUCUGUGCCUAUAAAUCAUAUACAACUUUCAGCAACGGAUCUCUUGGCUCUCGCAUCGAUGAAGAACGCAGC
This 396-nucleotide unclassified non-coding RNA is filed under the name uncultured fungus. Its description in RNAcentral is "partial contains small subunit ribosomal RNA, internal transcribed spacer 1, and 5.8S ribosomal RNA". The stretch from base 1 to 73 matches the Rfam family "Eukaryotic small subunit ribosomal RNA", at positions 1759 to 1831 of the family's 1831-position model. The record is from RNAcentral. Lineage: Eukaryota; Fungi.